This 423-nucleotide ribosomal RNA is filed under the name uncultured eukaryote. Its description in RNAcentral is "bacterial SSU rRNA". It matches the Rfam family "Eukaryotic small subunit ribosomal RNA", at positions 592 to 1018 of the family's 1831-position model. The record is from RNAcentral.
CAAUAGCGUAUAUUAAAGUUGUUGCGGUUAAAAAGCUCGUAGUUGGAUUUCUGUCGAAGACUGCCGGUCCGCUCUAUGAGCGUGUAUCUGGUUAGGCUUUGGCAUCCUCUUGAAGAACGUUGCUGUGCUUAAUUGCAUGGUGCGGAAUUCAAGACUUUUACUUUGAGGAAAUUAGAGUGUUCACGGCAGGCAAGCGCCUUGAAUACAUUAGCAUGGAAUAAUGGAAUAGGACCUCGGUUCUAUUUUGUUGGUUUUCGGAGCGCGAGGUAAUGAUUAAGAGGGACAGACGGGGGCGUCCGUACUCUGCCGUUAGAGGUGAAAUUCUUGGAUCGGCGGAAGACGAACUACUGCGAAAGCAUUCGCCAAGAAUGUUUUCUUUAAUCAAGAGCGAAAGUCAGAGGUUCGAAGACGAUCAGAUACCGU